AAGAAAUGCAACCCUCUGUGAUAUAGCAAGGAGACAGGGAGUGGGGAAGUCAGAAAGGAAAGUCUGCUGCUGCUGAAGUAUUGCAGGAAGAGAAGAGACUGCAUUAUGGCAAAACUUGGCUCUACCACGGGCAGCUGAAGAGAUUAUUACCUUGUACAAUUGCUGAAAACCCAACAAUGUAACAUCCAGUGUGAUUCAGAGUCAUGGGAAAGGAUUUCGAGAGAAGAAACCUCCUGUGGUAAAGUGGCCUGAGUCAAAACGGCACAUCCAGUCAAACUGGCAGCUG
RNAcentral lists this long non-coding RNA (286 nucleotides) under Gallus gallus (chicken). Lineage: Eukaryota; Metazoa; Chordata; Aves; Galliformes; Phasianidae. The record is from RNAcentral.